This 633-nucleotide long non-coding RNA is filed under the name Equus caballus (horse). RNAcentral describes it as "lncRNA (ENSECAG00000041578.2)". Lineage: Eukaryota; Metazoa; Chordata; Mammalia; Perissodactyla; Equidae. The record is from RNAcentral.
CUUCCCUUUGACGGUUCCAGUCACUCGAGAAUGCUGUCUACACCUCUGUCAGGGCUUCCUUACCCUCUGCACCCUGGCCUCCAUCCCACUGCCUCGUCCUCCCACUGCUGAGGCCCCCACUGGCCUCCUGGCAACAACCCCUCAGCUGUGUAGACCUGGCCCCCUACCUGCCCCUCCACCACCUCUCUAACCUCCAGGAAGGGCCCCUCUGCUGGAACUACCCUUUCCUGCUCUCCUGGUUGGUAAAAUAUACAUAAGGUGACGUCUAUUCCACUUCCUGUCUCUAUGAAUUUGCCUGUUCCAGGGACCUCCUAGAAGCAGGAUCAUACAAUAUUUGUCCUUCUGUGCCUGGCUCAUUUCACUGGGCAUCACGUCCUCAAGGCUCAUCCGUGUUGUAGCAGGUGUCCGAAUUUCCUUCCUUUUCAAGACUGAAUAAUGUUCCAUCGUCUGGCUGGACCACAUUGCGUUUAUCCAUCGUCCAUCGAUGGAGACUUGCGUUGUCCACCUUUUGGCUGCCGUGAAUCACACUGCUGUGAACACAGGUGCACAGGGACUCGAACAUCCUUGGAGGGCCUGGAACCAACCCCCUGCGGACACCGAGGGACGACAGCACUGUCAUCUGCUAAUUUCAGC